GUGCGCGGUGCGAGUCGGCGGUGCCACUUUUGUAGUUGGCAGGCGUUGCGUUGCGUCGCUGUAGCUGUGUUCCGUAGGGAGGAGUUGAUAUGUCUGCAAAGAAUUCAAGAAUCAGAAAGAUUCAUAGAUUGGGAGUAUUUGAAUACAUUUGCUCAUGGAGGCAAAGCCUGCUUUCUCACUGUCUGGGGAAUGGCAGUUACCCUCAGUUCCUCAUGUUGUGGUGACCGCCAACCAUAAAAUUAUUUUGUUGCAAGGCUGGAGAGAUGGCUCGGCAGUUAAGAGCACUGACUGUUCUUCCAGAGGUCCGGAGUUCAAUUCCCAGCAACCACAUGGUGGCUAACAACCACCUUGAAUGAGAUUUGGUGCCUUCUGCUGGCAUGCAGGCAGCAGAAGACUGUAUACAUAAUAAAUAAAAUCUUUUUUAAAAAACUAUUUUGCGGCUACUUCAUAGCUGUAAUUGUUUUUGUUUGUUUUUCGAGACAGGGUUUCUCUAUGUAGCUUUGGAGGCUGUCCUGGAACUCACUCUGGAGACCAGGCUGGCCUCGAACUCCCAGAGAUCCGCCUGCCUCUACCUCCCGAGUUCUGGAA
RNAcentral lists this long non-coding RNA (588 nucleotides) under Cricetulus griseus (Chinese hamster). Its description in RNAcentral is "lncRNA (ENSCGRG00015040536.1)". Lineage: Eukaryota; Metazoa; Chordata; Mammalia; Rodentia; Cricetidae. The record is from RNAcentral.